Long non-coding RNA from Magnolia sinica, 1725 nucleotides. RefSeq lists it as uncharacterized. NCBI's taxonomy places the organism in Eukaryota, Viridiplantae, Streptophyta, Magnoliopsida, Magnoliales, Magnoliaceae. The record is from RefSeq and is a predicted model, not a curated record. The transcript has 3 exons.
UUUAAAAACGGUUUUAAACCGUUUCUAAUUUGAAACGGUUCUAAACCGUUUUAAAAUUUGUAACUAUGUUAAUGGCCAACAUUGCUAUUUCCACUUUUUUGUUGGUGUGUCCCACUUAAGUUUUGGAUAUUCCUAAUCUCUUGAAUUUUAUAUUAUUAUUAUAUUUUAAAAUAGAUAGACGGCGUGGAUUUGAUUAAGAGCUUCUCGGUGGACCCCACAUUGCCCUAACGGCUCAGUAAUAUCUACGUGCCCCAGCCCACGGAAUCCAUUUUUUCCCAUUUGUUGAGCUGAAAACACCCUAACCCUCAUAUUCUCUCUCUCUCUCUCUCUCUCUCUACUUUUAUCUUGCCAUCUCUCUCUCUCUCUCUUUCUCUCUCUCCCUCUCUCUCUCUCUCGCACUCACAUUCUCUUUUCGUCUCUCUCAUGAUCUACAACCCUCCGGCAGUGGGAUGAUAGUGGCACGCUUCCCCCAACUUUGAAAUUUCAUAGAUAACUGGAGUGUGAAGGCCAUUAGGAGGAAGACAACUGGAACGGGAAGGAUGAGGUAUUUACGUCAUGUGCCUCGAAGGUUCAAGAGCAAUUUCAGAGACGGAAACCAACCGUCUUUGCGUCUUCCAUCUUUGGACCCAAGUGUCCCCGAGGAAGACAAUUGCUGCUGCAUAGAGGAAUUACUUUAGUUUUGGGGCAUGUCUAAAGCAUCUUGUUCCUGUAUUUGAGCUGGAUUUUGUGUAAUUUUAUCAAUUAGGUUCUUUUACACUGGAGAUAUUGCUAUCUUCUAUAGAGAAUUAGGGCUGAAAGUUGGGCGGGUUCAACCCGACCGACCCGUGACUGACCCGACAUUGGGUUGGGCUUGGGCAGAAUGUAUCGAGUUUGGUCUCGGGCUUGGGCCAUACAAACACCAACCUGAUAAAACUUGAGUUGGUCUCGGGUUGCCCAACCCAACCCAAACCCAAUCAAUAUAUAAGUUCCUUAUAAAUUAAUUAUAAUUGAGUGCGGAUCGUUUGUGUUGAAGGCACAUGAAAUUCCAAUGCCGUUGGGUUUCAUUGGUCCACGUCAUUUCCUAUGACUCAAGCUAACAAGAUAUGCCGGAUUUAUCUCUCCCAAAUAGAUUGCUUGAUACACAAUACAAAUUUUAAAGGAGUAGUGGUCUUAUAUUUUAGCUUGUUUGUUUAGAAAAAAUGAACUUCUUUACGAUAAUUAACUACAUAUAUAAUUAAUAAAAUUAUAGGUACAAAAAUAAGACGUGUAUUGAAAAUAUAAUAGACUAAUGUAAUAAUGAAAAUAUUAGCAUAUAUCUACCUGACCAACCCGGCCGAGCCCGCUUGGGUUGGGAUUGGGUUGAGAAUUCCCAACCUGAGGUUGGGUUGGGUUGGGCUAGGGUUGAGCACCAACCUUACCAAACCCACCCGACUUUCAGCCCUAUAGAGAAUGGACUUUUUGACAUCUUAAAUUGCCAAAUAAGCAUGAAGUUUUAGUAUUGGGAUAAACCAUUCAUUCAUAUAAACAUGAAGUUUUGAUGUUGGGAUAAACCAUUCUUUCGUUUUCUGUAUAUUUGCUAGUUGCAUUUUCCAGCUCAAGCAGGAGGAUUUCUGUUGACCCUUUCGAUAGAUCUAAUACCCAAGAAAUCAGAAAGAGGAAAAAUAGGUUUGCUGGUCUUAUGUUGAAUGUUCACGGUCUUGGUAAACCUUCAGUGACGGUUAGUGUCUUACCUAAUAUUUUUUAGAA